RNAcentral lists this ribosomal RNA (567 nucleotides) under Fusarium sp. PSU-ES198. RNAcentral describes it as "eukaryotic LSU rRNA". The stretch from base 207 to 360 matches the Rfam family "5.8S ribosomal RNA". The record is from RNAcentral. Lineage: Eukaryota; Fungi; Ascomycota; Sordariomycetes; Hypocreales; Nectriaceae.
AGAGUAAGUAAAAGUCGUAACAAGGUCUCCGUUGGUGAACCAGCGGAGGGAUCAUUACCGAGUUUACAACUCCCAAACCCCUGUGAACAUACCUAUACGUUGCCUCGGCGGAUCAGCCCGCGCCCCGUAAAACGGGACGGCCCGCCCGAGGACCCCUAAACUCUGUUUUUAGUGGAACUUCUGAGUAAAACAAACAAAUAAAUCAAAACUUUCAACAACGGAUCUCUUGGUUCUGGCAUCGAUGAAGAACGCAGCAAAAUGCGAUAAGUAAUGUGAAUUGCAGAAUUCAGUGAAUCAUCGAAUCUUUGAACGCACAUUGCGCCCGCCAGUAUUCUGGCGGGCAUGCCUGUUCGAGCGUCAUUUCAACCCUCAAGCUCAGCUUGGUGUUGGGACUCGCGGUAACCCGCGUUCCCCAAAUCGAUUGGCGGUCACGUCGAGCUUCCAUAGCGUAGUAAUCAUACACCUCGUUACUGGUAAUCGUCGCGGCCACGCCGUAAAACCCCAACUUCUGAAUGUUGACCUCGGAUCAGGUAGGAAUACCCGCUGAACUUAAGCAUAUCAAUAAGC